CCGAACCAGAGCCGUAGAAACGACCGAUCGAACGUCAAACAGAAAAUAUAUCCAAACGUCUUCUUGUACAUUGAGGAGUAUGAGGUCUCUGCGGAACAAAAUUGGGCGUUUCUGUAUUUGUGGGUGUUUUCAAACUGUUUGAUAGUAGUCCAACGGUCUACUAUAGGUCUACAAUACGUUAUCAAGUUUCAGGACCUUUUUCUGUCGCGUGAGCGAUCGGAUUGGAGUCACCAUGGAAACGGGGCGGCAACUCAACCAACUGACAAGUGACAAGCAGGAGCGUGGUCUGUCACUGUUAUUUUCACUGCUUUCAGGGCAGUUUGUGAAGACGAGAUGCUGUGACAACCUGGACAGAAAUCGGUUCCAGAUCCACCUUCAACAGCAGACUUCUCAUAUGGAUUGCUGUCUACUAGCAUAUUAUUUGUUUGCUUCAGAAUUAGGUGCAUGCAGACAAUUGUUUAUAACCUUAUUUCUUUCUGGUGUUGUGUCGAAUUCUGUGACCCACCAAAUCAUAUGACUAUAGGCAUUGCAUUGACCUAAUCUGACCUUUUACUAAACCCAACCCUAAUCCUACCCUUUUGAUAAUUAACCAUGGUUUUAUAUAUUUAUAGUAAAACCAUGUGUUUUUUUUUUUGUUUUUUUUUUUGGCGUAUUGAUUACCAUUUGUAUAAUCAUACAAAUACCAUAGUUAUAACUGUUUUUGUAGCAAAACCAUGGUUCAUUUGUGGGAACCAUGGAAUUACUACAAUGACUAAAUUUUUUUGCUUUUAAUCAUGGUAAAACCAUGGUUGAUUUCCAUAACCUACCCUCAUAACCUACUAGGGUCACAUAAUUUAGUGUGUUACAGAAUUCGGCAUUAUAACUGUUUGGAUCAGCACUUAAAGAGUUAGUUUACCCAAAAAUGAAAAUAAUAUCAUUAAUUACUCACCCUCGUGUCAGUCUACACCUGUAAGACCUUCAUUGAUCUUCGGAACACAAAUUAAAAUAUUUUUGCUGAAAUCCGAUGGCUCAGUGAGGCCUCCAUUGCCAGCAAGAAUUAGUUCACUUUUUGAAUGACAAUGUCCUGAUAAUUUACUCACCCCCAUGUCAUCCAAGAUGUUCAUGUCUUUCUUUCUUCGUUAGAAAAGAAAUUAAGGUUUUUGAUGAAAACAUUCCAGGAUUUUUCUCCUUAUAGUGGACUUCAGUGGACUCCAGAUGGUUGAAGGUCAAAAUUACAGUUUCAGUGCAGCUUUAAACUAUACCAGACGAGGAAUAAGGGUCUUAUCUAGGGAAACGAUCUGCCAUUUUUGUAAAAAUACAACUCUAUAUGCUUUAUAAACACAAAUGAUUGCCUUGCGAGUGUUUCCGUGUUCCGUAUUCUUCAAAAAGCUUGUCAAUAUCACAGCUCAUCAAAUAAUGUGGAUAAAUACACGUCAACGAUUAGGCUACUUAUACAAACAAAAUGAAAAAAAAAACAAAAAAAAACACACCAAAUACACAACAAUAGAUAAAUCACAAUAAUUUUUUUAAAAGUAGUCCAGGCUGCUUCACUAAAGAAGAAUACAAAGCAUGUUAGUUUAAUAUACUUGCACGAAGGACGAAAGCGUUCAACACUUAUUCAAACUUGUCGUACAGAUAAAUUGGGCAGAAUAAUCUUUAAAAACACUGUAAAUCAGCGGUUCAAAACCGCGACGUCCACAGCCAGUCGUAUCCUCGGUGAAACAGCAAUAUGAAACGGAUAUAUGAAAUCAGUCAAUGAAACAUGUAUAAAACACGUAUAUAAACCAGGUAUAAAACAGCAGCUAGCGCUUAGGCCGCACCUGAAAACAAAAACAACAAAUAGUAAAAACGUUUCAAAUGAUUUCCCCCUUCCCAAAAAGAACCCACGAUAAGAGUGUCUUACCUCCCAAGCAAGAUUCAAGCAAGAUCAUAGCGCGAUCCAGACAUUGCCUCCUCUCACGUGACUUUCCCCCCAUUCAUUCUCAAUUACAAAUACAAUUUGCGCCAGCCAUUCCUAUGAUAAAAUGUGCAACCCAUUUGAAUUCUAUUGAGAAUGUACUGUAGUAAAACACUAUGGAGAAAGUCAAACAUGAUCUAAAAACAGCCACUAAAAAGACUGAUGAAAAGAGAGGAAAAAAUUAUGAUGAUCCUGCAAGCUUUUUAAAUUGCACCUUUACUAGUAUUUAUCAUAUUCUAUUGUAUUUAUUGUGGCACAUUUUAACAAACUUGUUGAAGAAUUUAUAAUAUAUAAUCUGUUUAGGGAAUAGAUUUGAAAAAGAAAGAAAAAAAAUUAACAUUGGCCUAAGCAUGCAAUGAGGAGCCAUCAAUGGUCUACCUGUAGUUAGCUAUAUCCUUAUUGUAAAUGUAGCAAGUCUAAAGAGUGUUUUAUGUUUUAUUCAAGUGUAAUCUAAGUGCAUGUAUGUUCUUUUCCUAUGUUAUGUGUUCUGAUUGUGUGGGGCUUUAAUGGGUGGGGUGUUCUUCUGAAGAAAGAGCCUGUGCAGUGAUGUGUGGAUAGGACAACUUUUCUGGGGGAAAAGUUCCAGAAGUUUGUUUGCUGUCUGUGAGGCAGGAGCAUUGGCCAAACAGGUGCUCACGUUAAUAAAGGAGCCUAAACCAUUUAAGUGAGUCUAUCAUUUUCUCUGUUCGCUACACUGGUGUCAGAAGUGAACUGACUGAAUCCAGUUAGUCUACGGGAUUGCUGUCAUUAUCGUCCCUGCAACACGAUUGUUCGAGCCAGAAGCAAGCCGGAUGUUUCGUGAGGUUUUGUCUGCUUUGGCGUGGACUUCUGAUCAAUUUGCAACAGAGGAAGACUUUCUGGAAUCACAUAAGGCUCGUGUGAAGGAGGCUACUAGGAGAAUGGCUGCAGACACCAGGCUUUUGAGCCGAGUGCCACAGAGUACUGCCAAACUUUCAUGAGGACAACAAACAGACAUGGCGGCGCCUAGGGAACCGUGCUGUCUUCAGAUAUAAAUAGGCCACGGAGCUGUGCUGCUUUCUGACAUGAAUGAAAAUGGCGGCUUCCACGCUGCUGUGCCUACGGUGUGUGGUAGGUUUUCCCCUACGCACCUGACUUAAGUUAAACCGGGUGUCCCAGACACCUUUGAAUUUAUACUCUACUAAGCAUACUUCAAUACCUGUUUGAGUCGGCCGAUGUCUCGGCCUGUUUGGGCACUAUUACCUGGUAAUAAGCUCUUUAGUGCUCCUCCACUAAACACUAUCACUUGAGUAUAUAAGUAAGAUCUCUAGUGCCUAGUCUGCUGCACAGCCUAAAAACCAAACAGACUCCAGACUAUGCCUUAGAAUAUGCUUUAAUCACGGCCGGAGGACCUCGUAUCAAUCACAGAGAAUCCCACCACCAAGAAGAAUACAACAGUUUAUAUAGGAUAAGAGCAUGGUAAAGAAUUCUACAAUAUGAUUGGUUCUUCAUAUGUCAAACCCUCAUGUUACUAGGUAAAGCAAGAUCUGCCCAAAUCAUGUGUUUAUUAGUUCGUUGGUUACUCAAUAUCAUGGGGUUAUUAUAGUUAGAUGGUUGUCUAGCUGUCCCUAAGUGUCAUUUCCAUUUUUCUUAUUUUUGGACAUGAUUCACACACACACACUGACUUAGGCCCAUGCAAGGUUUGAGGACAUUUAGGUUUCAAAAGCAUAUAAAUGUCAUUCCUGCAAGGAAAAAGAAAUGUUAGUUAUGAUUAAUUAAAAAAAUUCCAUCACAGGUGGCAGUUAAAACCCCCAAAUUCUCAGGUAAAGCUGAUUGGGAAGCAUUUCAUGAACAGUUUGGACUGUUGGCUCAUGCUGGAAACCACAAAGCCCACAUGCCACCGUCAGUUCAAGGGGAGCUUGCGAAGGACCAAUUCAAUCAGGCCCUUACCCCUGUGGAGCUCCGUAGACAGACAAACCUGGCCCACCCUCAAACCCUGCAGGAUGCCUUGGAGAUGGCGUUGGAGAGGGAGAUUAUUUGGGGAACUUGCAUGUCGGAUGAGAGACAGCGAGAUACUGUGUCGUUGAGGUCUACUGAUGCGGUGGAGGGGCUAAGCGAAAGGACCAGCCUUGGAUUCCGAAGUCAAUGAAUUGAUCAGAGCUGUGGCACUGCAACCUGAUCAACGGCCCCGCACACGACCAAGGGUUUGUUGGGGUUGUGGGCAGACUGGACAUUUAGUUUGUCAGUGUUCGAAGUUAGAUGGUAACCAGGGAAACGGGACGAGGUCCGCAUGAUCAGGGCCAUGCGGACCCCCAACACUCAUCCCCAAUGUCAUCACCAGCAGGAGUCUCAAGAGAUGGACAAGGGGAAGGCAAUCAAGGACUGUCGGGGGAGGGUGAAUGUGGGCCAGAAGAGUCUGUGGUAGUGGUGGGAUGAACAUGCGACUACGCACAGUGACGGGUGAACUGGUGCCAAUGAAGGGUAAAGGAGUGGUUGUGCUGACUGUAGGGGGAAAGUCAUUACAUCAUUCAGUGUGGGUGGCUGCAGUCCAGGACCCUUGUAUUCUUGGUCUUGACUUCCUUAGAAGUGCAGGUUGCCAAUUAGACCUGAGAGAGGGCCUGCUCCAUUUUGAAUGGGGUCCUGAGGUUGUCAUGUCCACUGAAAAUAACAUUGAUAUGUCUUUUACAGGUCUUCUGGAUGCAUCAGCUUCUCCUGAGGACCCUAGUUUGGAGCACCAUACAUUGCUCUUGCAAACAUCUUCCAUCUUCCCUGGGGUGGCCACACAGUCCCCUUUAAAGUCACCCUCGAGCCUCUCCAGCAGGUAUGGGCAUGAGAAUGGUGUUCCAUUUUUGCCUCUUGAGGAGCGGGAGGCGUUGUUUGCUUGGAGGGAGUUGUGGCUGAAGAAUUGUGAAGAAUUGUCAGCGGGGGCAGUUUUGGGAUUUGUUAGUUAAUGGCACGAUGGAAGAGAGGGUGCAGGCGGUUAGCAACUGGCCCACUCCUACAACCUCGCAGCAGCUCAGAAGUUUUUUUGGGGUUGGCCUUAAUAUUACAGGAGGUUUGUGCUUGGUUUUUCAGCAUUGUAGACCCACUUUUCCACCUACUGAAGAAAGAUAAGUCCUUCACUUGGACUGAGGAGUGUCAAAACUCGUUUGCUGCCCUGAAACAGGCUCUGGUCACCGCCCCUGUAUUGGACCCCCCUGACCUGUCACCAGAUGGGAACUUGUUGCUGUGCUUUUUGCAGUCCGACACCUUUUUUAGUAUUACCUGUGCGGGCUGCCUUUCACUGUACGCACUGAUCAUGCAGCUCUCCAAUGGCUAAUGUCAUUCAAAGAGCCAGAGGGCCAGCUGGUACGCUGGAUUGAGGAACUUCAGGCAUACAACAUGAGGGUAGUACACCGUUCAGGGUCAGGCCAUGCAAACGCAGAUGCUCUUUCUCGUCGGCCAUGGUUAGCCGACCGGUGUUUGUACUGUGACAAAAGGGAGGACAGGGACACAGAGCUGGAGAACCCGGAUGCCAGUGGUGCUUCUGUGCAAGCGUGGUGAUACGCCAGCGUGUUUGACUGUGGGGACAGUGGGAGUAGAGGACUGGAGGCGGCUGCAAGAGGAAGAUGUGGACCUACAGCCAGUAAUCCAGUGGGUCCAAACUCAGCAGCGACUUCUGUGGGAGAAAGUGGCCGUUUUCUCUUUAUCCACAAAAUCUUAUAGGCCAAAUUCAAGGACCUGCGCCUUGAGACUGGGUGUUAGAGAGGGAGUGGAAAGACCCCGCCACCGUAGAGGGGAGGUGGCAGGUGGUAGUGCAGAGGUCACGGGAAGGGGGUUAUCAGGGCUGGUAGUGGUUUUUGUUUUC
This is a long non-coding RNA of Ctenopharyngodon idella (grass carp), 5741 nucleotides long. RefSeq lists it as uncharacterized. NCBI's taxonomy places the organism in Eukaryota, Metazoa, Chordata, Actinopteri, Cypriniformes, Xenocyprididae. The record is from RefSeq and is a predicted model, not a curated record. The transcript has 4 exons.